AAAGUCGUAACAAGGUUUCCGUAGGUGAACCUGCGGAAGGAUCAUUAUUAGGGAGUUGUUGAGGUUUUAUUUUACUGUAUGGAAAGUACAGCAAGAAAUAUUUAACAAUUACAAAUUAAAAGAUUACAUAAGCACCUUGCUGCAAUGGAUCUCUCGGCUCUU
Molecule: unclassified non-coding RNA, 162 nt
Filed under: Glomeromycotina sp.
Lineage: Eukaryota; Fungi; Glomeromycota
Description: partial contains small subunit ribosomal RNA, internal transcribed spacer 1, and 5.8S ribosomal RNA
Rfam family: Eukaryotic small subunit ribosomal RNA (bases 1-47)
Source: RNAcentral